Molecule: ribosomal RNA, 400 nt
Filed under: uncultured bacterium
Lineage: Bacteria
Description: bacterial SSU rRNA
Rfam family: Bacterial small subunit ribosomal RNA
Source: RNAcentral
UAAGGAAUAUUGGUCAAUGGACGCAAGUCUGAACCAGCCAUGCCGCGUGAGUGAUGAAGGCCUUAGGGUUGUAAAGCUCUUUCGGUGGGGAAGAUAAUGACGGUACCCACAGAAGAAGCCCCGGCUAACUUCGUGCCAGCAGCCGCGGUAAUACGAAGGGGGCUAGCGUUGUUCGGAUUUACUGGGCGUAAAGCGAACGUAGGCGGAUCGUUAAGUGAGGGGUGAAAUCCCAGGGCUCAACCCUGGAACUGCCUUUCAUACUGGCGAUCUUGAGUCCGGAAGAGGUGAGUGGAACUCCUAGUGUAGAGGUGGAAUUCGUAGAUAUUAGGAAGAACACCAGUGGCGAAGGCGGCUCACUGGUCCGGUACUGACGCUGAGGUGCGAAAGCGUGGGGAGCAAA